Molecule: long non-coding RNA, 201 nt
Filed under: Panax ginseng (ginseng)
Lineage: Eukaryota; Viridiplantae; Streptophyta; Magnoliopsida; Apiales; Araliaceae
Description: long non-coding RNA (PGIN_LNC007895)
Source: RNAcentral
AAAUAUUCCCCCAAACUUAAGUUCUUGUCUAACUUUAGUCAUCACUACUUAUUCUUGUCAUUCUUUCAUUCAAAGUAGCAUUAUCCUUUAAAGUCCCAUUAUGUAUCAAUUUAAACUCAAUCAAUCAACAAGUUGUUUUUACUGUGCUAUCAUUAUUAUCCUAGUUUCAAACAGAAAAAGAUUCAAUUCAUAACAAGAAAU